This 497-nucleotide ribosomal RNA is filed under the name uncultured bacterium. RNAcentral describes it as "partial 16S ribosomal RNA". It matches the Rfam family "Bacterial small subunit ribosomal RNA", at positions 28 to 507 of the family's 1533-position model. The record is from RNAcentral.
GAUGAACGCUGGCGGCGUGCCUAAUACAUGCAAGUCGAGCGAACGGACGAGGAGCUUGCUUCUCUGAUGUUAGCGGCGGACGGGUGAGUAACACGUGGAUAACCUACCUAUAAGACUGGGAUAACUUCGGGAAACCGGAGCUAAUACCGGAUAAUAUUUUGAACCGCAUGGUUCAAAAGUGAAAGACGGUUUUGCUGUCACUUAUAGAUGGAUCCGCGCUGCAUUAGCUAGUUGGUAAGGUAACGGCUUACCAAGGCGACGAUGCGUAGCCGACCUGAGAGGGGGAUCGGCCACACUAGAACCUGAGCACGGGCCCAGCUCCUUAGGGAGGGCAGAGUUGGGAAACCUUCGGCAAGGGGGGAAAGCUUGCCGAAGAACCGCGGGGUGGGUGAUGAAGGCCUCCGGACGGUAAACCUUUGUUAUGGGGGAAAAACAUAUGGGUAAGUAACUGUGCACAUCUGACCGUAACCUAUUAAGAAGCCCCGGGUAACUACCGU